Molecule: ribosomal RNA, 221 nt
Filed under: Streptococcus thermophilus
Lineage: Bacteria; Bacillati; Bacillota; Bacilli; Lactobacillales; Streptococcaceae
Description: partial 16S ribosomal RNA
Rfam family: Bacterial small subunit ribosomal RNA
Source: RNAcentral
AUUAAUGAGAGUUUGAUCCUGGCUCAGGACGAACGCUGGCGGCGUGCCUAAUACAUGCAAGUAGAACGCUGAAGAGAGGAGCUUGCUCUUCUUGGAUGAGUUGCGAACGGGUGAGUAACGCGUAGGUAACCUGCCUUGUAGCGGGGGAUAACUAUUGGAAACGAUAGCUAAUACCGCAUAACAAUGGAUGACACAUGUCAUUUAUUUGAAAGGGGCAAUUG